Non-coding RNA from Candidatus Accumulibacter sp. 66-26, 74 nucleotides. Lineage: Bacteria; Pseudomonadati; Pseudomonadota; Betaproteobacteria. The record is from Rfam.
CGGGGCGUAGCGCAGCCUGGUAGCGCACUUGCAUGGGGUGCAAGGGGUCGCGAGUUCGAAUCCCGCCGCCCCGA